UACGAAGGGGGCUAGCGUUGCUCGGAAUCACUGGGCGUAAAGGGUGCGUAGGCGGGUCUUUAAGUCAGGGGUGAAAUCCCGGAGCUCAACUUCGGAACUGCCCUUGAUACAGCACGUCUUGAGUCCGGAAGAGGUGGGUGGAAUUCCUAGUGUAGAGGUGAAAUUCGUAGAUAUUAGGAAGAACACCGGUGGCGAAGGCGGCCCACUGGUCCGGUACUGACGCUGAGGUGCGAAAGCGUGGGGAGCAAACAGG
Molecule: ribosomal RNA, 253 nt
Filed under: uncultured bacterium
Lineage: Bacteria
Description: partial 16S ribosomal RNA
Rfam family: Bacterial small subunit ribosomal RNA
Source: RNAcentral